GAUGAAGAACGUAGUUAAAUGCGAUAAGUAAUGUGAAUUGCAGAAUUCAGUGAAUCAUCGAAUCUUUGAACGCACCUUGCACCCUUUGGCAUUCUGAAGGGUAUGCUCGUUUGAGUGUCAUUGUACUCUCACACUCCCGAUCUUUGCAUUGGGAGCAGUGGACUUGGGUUUGCUGCUUCACCGUCGCUUACCUCAAAUAGGUUAGUGCAACUCUUGGUUGGACAUAGUACGGCGUGAUAAGUGUUCUUCGCCGGUGCCUCGCAAAGAGGGUGGCCGAUCGGGAUGUUGUGCUCCAAACCGUCUUCGGACAAUCUCUGACGACUUGACCUCAAAUCGAGUAAGACUACCCGCUGAACUUAAGCAUAUCAAUAAGCGGAGGA
This 380-nucleotide unclassified non-coding RNA is filed under the name soil metagenome. Its description in RNAcentral is "partial contains 5.8S ribosomal RNA, internal transcribed spacer 2, and large subunit ribosomal RNA". The stretch from base 1 to 120 matches the Rfam family "5.8S ribosomal RNA", at positions 35 to 154 of the family's 154-position model. The record is from RNAcentral.